This 948-nucleotide long non-coding RNA is filed under the name Canis lupus familiaris (dog). Its description in RNAcentral is "lncRNA (ENSCAFG00040021969.1)". Lineage: Eukaryota; Metazoa; Chordata; Mammalia; Carnivora; Canidae. The record is from RNAcentral.
CCACCAGAAACUUAAUAGAUGCUUUAGGUUUACCUGAAUGAAAUGACUAAACAUAGUAUGUAGAUCUAAACUUUGAAUAGUUAUUCAUACUAUCUGCUUAUCCACUUAUAAAAGACUUGAGCAGUGUCUUCUAAUUUAUAGGCAUUUCUUGCUCCUUUCAAAUGAUCUUUUAAACCUGAUAUGCCUUCCAAAGAGAGAAAUGCUCACCUUUUGAAUUCUGACAUCAGUAUGGACACUUAGAUGCUAAUGUGAUAAGUCUCUUUGAAAUAAAUAUUUUAAAUAGGAUUUUACUGCUUUAAUAAACUGUUUUCCUGCUUCUCUGUUUUCUCAUUUUGAUCAGCAGUGCAAGAAAACACCUAGAUGGGGUUGUCAAGUCUCAUCCAUCAUCAAAAAUCAAGUCAGAAAUCUGAAUGAGAAUCUCUAGGCACUUCCAGUGCUCAUGUUCAGCCCCAACUCUGAGAGUAAGGCUGUCUGUUGGUAAGUGGAUUUAUGAUAACCCCAUGUCUCCACUUUGUUUCUGCCUUGACAACCUGUUCCAAGUGUGAUGAACUAAAAUAGAAGUUGUAUCUAGAGGAGCAACUCUAGAGAGUUGCUCUAGGAGAGGCUCUGCAUUUAAGAGGUGUAAAAUCAGUAUAGUACUUUGAGACAGCAGUUUAUAUCUGGUUCCCAGGGUUUUUACAAUAAUAAUAUUAAAGGAAACAAUGAUAAUAAUUGUUGGUAUAUUAUUAAGAGAUUUACUAGUUUAGCUGUGACAGACAAGUACUAUGGUAGAUGGUAUUAUUGUUCCUAGUUGCUUGCUCCUUCCCCGUAAGAGAAUUAUAAGGCUCUGCUCGUCACCUACAGUGUCUCCUGUGGCAGGAGUAUACGUGGAUUCCACUGAUGCUAUGUCUAGGUAAAAGAUUUAAGAGACUUUGUGUGUUUCCACUAGCCCCCAUGCCCCCACUUUGC